AUCGAUGAAGAACGCAGCGAAAAGCGAUAUGUAAUGUGAAUUGCAGAUCUACAGUGAUUCAUCGAAUCUUAGAACGCACCUUGCGCUCCUCGGUGUUCCGAGGAGCAWGCCUGGUCGAGUGUCAKUA
Molecule: ribosomal RNA, 127 nt
Filed under: Rhizopogon diabolicus
Lineage: Eukaryota; Fungi; Basidiomycota; Agaricomycetes; Boletales; Rhizopogonaceae
Description: partial 5.8S ribosomal RNA
Rfam family: 5.8S ribosomal RNA
About the family: 5.8S ribosomal RNA (5.8S rRNA) is a component of the large subunit of the eukaryotic ribosome. It is transcribed by RNA polymerase I as part of the 45S precursor that also contains 18S and 28S rRNA.
Source: RNAcentral